AUUGAACGCUGGCGGCAUGCCUUACACAUGCAAGUCGAACGUGAAAGGGGGGCAACCCCCGAGUAGAGUGGCGGACGGGUGAGUAAUACAUCGGAACGUGCCCAGUAGUGGGGGACAACCUCGAGAAAUCGAGGCUAAUACCGCAUACGACCUACGGGUGAAAGCGGGGGACCGCAAGGCCUCGCGCUAUUGGAGCGGCCGAUGUCCGAUUAGCUAGUUGGUAGGGUAAAAGCCUACCAAGGCAACGAUCGGUAGCUGGUCUGAGAGGACGACCAGCCACACUGGGACUGAGACACGGCCCAGACUCCUACGGGUGGCUG
RNAcentral lists this ribosomal RNA (320 nucleotides) under uncultured Pseudomonadota bacterium. RNAcentral describes it as "bacterial SSU rRNA". It matches the Rfam family "Bacterial small subunit ribosomal RNA", at positions 30 to 351 of the family's 1533-position model. Lineage: Bacteria; Pseudomonadati; Pseudomonadota. The record is from RNAcentral.